This 256-nucleotide ribosomal RNA is filed under the name uncultured bacterium. RNAcentral's name for it is "partial 16S ribosomal RNA". It matches the Rfam family "Bacterial small subunit ribosomal RNA", at positions 524 to 776 of the family's 1533-position model. The record is from RNAcentral.
UACGGGGGGGAGCAAGCGUUGUUCGGAUUUACUGGGCGUAAAGGGCGCGUAGGCGGCCACCGCAAGUCGACUGUGAAAUCUCCGGGCUUAACUCGGAACGGUCAAGUGAUACUGUCGGACUAGAGUACAGAAGGGGCAACUGGAAUUCUCGGUGUAGCGGUGAAAUGCGUAGAUAUCGAGAGGAACACCUGCGGCGAAGGCGGGUUGCUGGGCUGAUAACUGACGCUGAGGCGCGAAAGCCAGGGGAGCGAACGGG